RNAcentral lists this ribosomal RNA (217 nucleotides) under uncultured bacterium. RNAcentral's name for it is "partial 16S ribosomal RNA". It matches the Rfam family "Bacterial small subunit ribosomal RNA", at positions 32 to 229 of the family's 1533-position model. The record is from RNAcentral.
AAUCAACGCUGGCGGCGUGCCUAAUACAUGCAAGUCGAACGCGAAAGUCCCGCAAGGGAUGAGUAGAGUGGCAAACGGGUGAGUAACGCGUGGGUGACCUGCCUUCGAGUGGGGGAGUAACGUUUCGAAGGAACGCUAAUACCGCAUGAUAUCCCGCCUUUCUAACAGGUGGAGAUCAAAGACUGGGGAGUCGCAAGACCUAGCGCUUGAAGAGGGG